Molecule: long non-coding RNA, 1319 nt
Organism: Penaeus chinensis
Lineage: Eukaryota; Metazoa; Arthropoda; Malacostraca; Decapoda; Penaeidae
Exons: 3
Source: RefSeq, a predicted model, not a curated record
GUGACCGGGAGUCAGUGCUGGGGGAAGCUCUCUCACUCUCCUCGCUCUCACUCUCUCUCUCUCUCACUCGCUCGCCGUGUGAAGCUGGCACUACGAGAAGGAGGAUGGUGAUGCUCCUCGACCUUGCGCGGUUCGUCGUCGCCACACUCCUUCGUCGGUCGCUUUAGGGCGUUUUUUGCGUGCGUUUUGCGUGUGGUGUGAGUGCCUCGGAAAUCUGGAAAAGGGAAAAGAGUGAAGGGAAAUACGGAAUUAAACUCUGACAGCCAUUUGCGUUGUUUAUGGAAAUUCGAUUCUGUUGGAAUCUGGCAAAUUGAGGGAAAAUUGUUCAAAAGAGCAGGUGUGAACUUAUUACAAGUGUUGUGUGGAUUUACAUACAUACUAGUGGAAAAGGACUCAUUAUUUACAGACUUUUAAAUAACACUUCAGCCCGAAUCACAGACCAAAGUGAAUUUUUUCCUCAGUGAGUUGUUACAUUUCUAUUAUUCUGCUCUAGAACAGUGAGGGAAGAGAGAAAAGGGAAAGAGAGAGAAAAGUGAAAAUAUAAAAAAGAGAAAAAGUCUCAAGCUAUUUAUUUCUACAUACAAUAGUGACCAAAAAGAAUCCAGUAGUGCUUAACCUAACCUAUCACCUUGACACGCCUAAGGAAUUAUACAUAUAAAGAUCCGAGUGAGGCUGUUCGCGUAAGCAUGUCGACAGCAGAGCGACGGGAAGCGCAGGACCUACACCCGUGACGUCAUAAGCUUUACGCGAACGCUCACGUUUGUCCCACUUGGUCGAAAGAGUAUGUGAACGAACCUCCGAGAAUGUGGUGACGACCUGUGCUCUAGAUUAGGUUUCUACACGCGAUUGCAAGAACGAGCACAGAUAUAGACUCCCCCCCAGUGGAGGUUCAGAGGGCACAACCCCCCCUUCCGCCUGGCCACACACAGGGGAGCUUCACCUGAACUCUCCCCUACGACCCUCGCAAACUCUACGCACGCCGCUACCCAGCCGUCGCCGACACCGCCUUGGUUGCUGCAUAAUUGUGUCCAGUUCUUCCAACAUUUAAAAAAAAAAAAGAGAACAAUAAAACAAAACAAAAGACAACUACAACGAAGAGAUCCUGCCUUUUCCUCCCUUCCUUUCCUUCUCUCCUUCGGUCUUACUGGUAAUUGGCAACUUUUAUCUCCCUUUCCUUCCGCACCUCUUCUCCCGCUCCUUCUUGCCUCGAUUUUUAUCUCUUCUUCCCCUUUUUCUCCCAAGAUCAGCUGUUCUCUCGUAGAAGCACAGUAAUUACGGUCCCUCCCCCCCGCCCCCUUUUUGUGUCUACGUCUCUUAUA